AACUGUCGAGAAGAGAAAUAUUCAGUGAUCGAUAAGCAAAAAUGAAUAUUAGUUAUAAAAGGUAAUAGGAAAAGGAUGGUAAAAUAUACUGUGCUGACUAAUAUUGGACACUAUCUUAGUUUGCAGAGUAAUGGUGAUUGGGGUAAUUUGAUAUCUGGCAACUUCUUAUUAUAACAUAUUCGUCUUUUGUAAGUGAAAUUCCUAAUGACAGCGGCAAGAUUAUGGUGAUUUUAUUUGUAAAAAUGUAUCAGUAUGAACAGACAAGCCAUCUUAACAUACUUAAGGGAAACCUGAAACUAACUGGAAUUAUCUAUCGCUGGUAUAGAGAAGGGCAAAAUAAAAAACCGAGAUUGUAAAAAUUUUUUUAGAUAAAUGAAAAUUUCCACUGUUAGCCC
Non-coding RNA from Schizosaccharomyces pombe (fission yeast), 395 nucleotides. The record is from the annotation of a GenBank genome assembly. NCBI's taxonomy places the organism in Eukaryota, Fungi, Ascomycota, Schizosaccharomycetes, Schizosaccharomycetales, Schizosaccharomycetaceae.